Molecule: long non-coding RNA, 6840 nt
Filed under: Theobroma cacao (cacao)
Lineage: Eukaryota; Viridiplantae; Streptophyta; Magnoliopsida; Malvales; Malvaceae
Description: long non-coding RNA (TCAC_LNC000675)
Source: RNAcentral
GUUGAGUCUGUGGGGGAUCUUUCCAUAGUAACUGGAGCCCAAUUGCAGGUUGAGAAUCAUGGUUCUAAAGAUAUUCUCUUCUUACGGCUACGCUUCUCAACUGUCUUGGGAGCUAUGGUUGCUAAGCAUCCAGAAUGGGAUGGAUCACCUGGGUUGGCACCCAAGGCAGGACUCUUAUCCAUAUUAAGCAGUUCUCUCGUCUCAGACAUAUCAUUUAAGGAGCCACCUCCAAGGCUAGCUGAUGUAAGUAUAAACUCUGCUAUUUAUCCUGGAGGCCCACCUGAGCCUGUACAAGGCCCCAAGCUUUUGAAAUUUGUUGAUACAACAGAGAUGACAAGAGGGCCGGAAGAAAUUCCUGGAUAUUGGGUCGUUUCUGGGGCAAGGUUAGUUGUUGAGCAGGGAAAGAUCUCUCUCCAGGUUAAGUAUUCUUUAUUGACUGUAAUAAUGCCUGAUGAAGAAGCAAUAGAGGAGCACUAGCCGAUUUCUGUCACCACAUAUUUAGCUUUCCUGUUUCUCUUUGCCCAGCAUGGAAACAAAUAUAAGUAGGAAACAGUUGCUGAAGAUCAGAGAAUCCAACAAAAGAGAGAGAAAGGAGUAGGAAUGGUUUACACUGAGGGGAUAGGUUUGGGUGUGUUGGUGGUGGCUGGCUGGCUGGCUGUUUCAUUGUAUUCAUUACACAUUUUUUCUUGCAAUAUAAUUUCUUUUUUCUUUGUUUCUAAUAUGCAAUGAGCUUUUUGGUUAUAAGGUAUCCCCUGCUCUGUUUGAUGCUCUAUUUGCAAGGGCUUGUUUUCUUUGUAUGUAAUAUGCUUUUCAUAUGAUAGCUGUAUACACAACAAAUAGCUGUAUGCUUUACAUUGAUUAACUCAGCUCUUCAAAACAUAAUCAGGUUACAUCAACAUAUCCCAUUCUUUCAGUUGAAAUUUUUGUUCUUCUUUCUGGGUCAUGCACCUAUUUUUCAUUAUUUAAAAAAAAAAAAAGAACUAUGAACUCUGUAGUUCAAAGUUCAUGCAAUUCAAUAUGGAAUUAUGGGCUUGAUUACUAUUAUUUACACUGAAAAACCACUAUAAAUGGAGGAGAAUUGAUGAAUUUUUGUAGCUAUAAGACAAAGCUUGAGAAAUUAUGGGCUUGUGGGUCUCUCUUUCCAUCAUAAAAUUCCUCCAAGCCUAUUUGUGCAAUUAAUUUCUUGCCUAAUCAAGAGGCCAAACAUUCCAUUUAAGACCACAGAUUUGUAGUAAUUGAAACCACUACAACUUUUAUUUUUAGUUUAAGAAUUAAAACUAAUCAUUCCUCUAACGAUUUUGAUUGUCAUAAUAUUACAUAAUUACAACAAUAACCCAUCAUUAAUCAAAUACUAAUUUGCAAUUUAUUUUUAAGCCAAUUAUGAACUUCCUUUCGGUUUAUAAAAAUGGAAACGUUGACCACAAUCAAGUUGAAACAUGCCACUAUAAUUUACUUCAUAGCUUUAAAUAGAAGUAGUACUAUUUGCUGUCAUGAUGCGUUAUACUUGUGGUUAUUUAAAGUAUGUGUUAUGCUUGAUAAAUUAUUAUUAAAAUAAUUAGAUAUUUAAAUAUUAAUAAAUAAAUAAAUAUAAAAUUAAAUAUAUUCAAUUAAAUAGAUUAAAAUUUUAAAUACGUACAUGAUUACGAUUAUUACACAUUUUACACAUAUAAACAUGAUUAUGUCAUUUUAAUUUAAACCUGUCAUACGAAAGUUAAACAAUUAUGAUAUUUCUUAAGAUUUGAUAAUUUCGUAUCUUAAAUAUGUUGACGGUUUAAAACAUUAUGGAUGAUUUUAAAUUUAAAUUUAAAUCUUUAAUUAUGGUAAGAUAAUUAAAAUUAAGAAACUUGAUAGAGCAAAGAUUGGCGGUGGAGAAAAGUAGAGCAGCAGGCAGUGAAGUUAGAAGAACCUCAACGUUGAAAGCUCCACUUUGACUCUCUGUUCCUCUAUACCCCCAUAGAACUCCCAGUUAAGAGUACGAGUGUCACAUGUCAAUAGAAUCUUUCAUUUCAGUCAAACCCAUUUUUACUACUUUGUCUCUCUCAACGCUACCCUUUCUUAGGGUUUCUCUUUCUCUCUCUCUCUCUCUCUCUUUCUCUCUUAAUUAUUUUAAUUUUUUUUCACCGCUCUCUAAGUUUCUCCAUCAAAGACCCAAUCUUUCGUUUUUUUUAAAGUUUGGGUUUUGUUCUUGGAAUUUUCCCAACGUGGAAAUCUCGCUGUUUGGGGGGGGGGGGGGGGGGCGGGGGGGGAAAGCCUCGAAAUCGAACAAAGGGAUUGACAUUCUGGGGCUUCAAAUUGCGUGAGCUUCGCUUCGAUUGGUUUUUUUGAGCAUAAAAUCUGCUCAAAAAACCCCCACCAAAGAUUUCCACUUUAGUUCUUGGACUGCGUAAAAUGUACGACUAUUUUUUUCUUUGACUAGUCUAAGCUAACUUUCUUUGCUUUUUAGCCUGUUUGCAGUUUUUGGAUCUAGGUUUUUUUUCAUGAAUUUAGGGAUAUUUUGGUGAAUUUGAACUAUAUUUGGGUUUUGAAUGUUAAUUUGUGAAAAUUGUUUGAUUUUCUUGCUAAUUUGAGCUAGAUUGGUUUGAGUUUGCUUGCUUCUGGAAAAAAAUAUGAAAUUUGCUCUCAUUUGAUAUGAAUAUGAAUAUUUGAGUUAUUUAUAGACUUCUGAUCUGCUCAGUUCAGUAAAAUAUGCUUUUUUUAAACAAAAAAUUGUUUAUGAUGGUCUUUCCCCAGCUUUGACAAGUUGAGCUAUUUGUAGAAUUUGGAUUAGGUUUAUUUAUGGAAAUGAUUGAAAACUGUUGCUUGACAUGGACUGAAGUUUGUUUAUUUUGAAUAAUUUGAUCACGUGCAGAAUUUGGUUCCAAUUUUUGGUGAGAAAGAGUGAUGCGCUGAGCAAUGGCGCUUAGGAUGCCAGCUCCAAAGGCGGCUGAGAUUGCCAUUGGGUCCAUUGGAUGUGGGUAUGAUAUCGGAAUGGAUCUUAGGCUGAAGUACUGUAAAGGGGAUUCAAAAAAUUCAUGUCUUAUUGAGAUUGAUAAAGACGGAGGCCGUGAGAUUGUUUUGCCUGGUGGAAUUUCAAUACCUAACGUGUCCAAAUCAAUAAAGUGCGAUAAAGGGGAGCGCACACGAUUCAGGUCUGAUGUCCUCUCCUUCCAACAGGUAAUAGUUUAUUGUAUGUUCAAUGCUAUCUGAUCAAUAUAUUUGGCUUCUACGGUUUUUUUUCCUCACAAAGUAGUCUGUUCAAACUGAAAAACUACAUGCUACCUGCGAAGUAGCUGUCUAGGUGAUAUUAUUGAUGUCCAUAUAUGUACUGGUAUUUGGAUGGUUGUCGCAUGCGUCAAAUCCUGUGAAAGGUAUAUGACAAAUGCUAUUCAUGUUUGGGAUUUGAUUGUUUUUUUUUUUUUGUGUUUGUCUUGAGAGUGUGCUCUUUCUCAUUAUUUUCUUCUAUUUUCUCCAGAUGUCAGAGCAGUUCAACCAAGAAAUAUCUUUGACUGGAAAAAUACCUUCAGGCCUCUUCAAUUCCAUGUUUGAGUUCUCUGGUUGUUGGCAAAAAGAUGCUGCCAACACUAAGAUGCUUGCUUUUGAUGGAGUGUUCAUAACCCUCUACUCAGUUGCACUGGAGAAAUCUCAGAUGGUGCUACGAGAUCAUGUCAAGAAGGCAGUCCCAUCUACAUGGGAACCUGCAGCAUUGGCAAGGUGAAUUUCUGCAUAAAUUUGGUCUUUGUAUUCUGGUGAUGGAGUCCUUAAAUAACACCCUGGCAUCUAGGAGGCAUUUUCUUGCUUACUUAACAAAUUGUGCCUCAGCCCUUGCUCAUUUCUCUCUCCCUCUCUGUGAAUUCUGCCAUCACAUGGAGUCUAAUCCAAUGAUCAACUUUUUAAUAAUUUUCUUAUACUGGUUCAGCAUGUAUAUUCUUGAUGAAAAUAAGUAGAAUGCUGUAGUGUUGGUUGGUUAUAAAUCUUCUGAUGCCCACUGCCUGUUUUAUUUAAAGUUCAUUACUUUCUGCUGUAUAAUAUUUGACGUCUGUUAUAUGAUAUUGAUGACAUCGCAGGUUUAUUGACACUUAUGGCACCCAUAUUAUUGUUGGUGUGAAGAUGGGAGGGAAGGAUGUUAUUUACAUAAAACAGCAUCAUUCCUCAAAUCUUCAACCUGCUGAUAUCCAGAAAAGAUUGAAGGAUAUGGCUGAUAAGAGGUUUUUAGAUGCCAAUGGACAUUAUAGCAUGGCGUCUGAGCAAGAUUUCCAGAGUGACAAGGUUUGCAAUAGAACUGUCAAUGCUAUUCUUCAAAUCCAUAGUUGUAUAUCUUGAUAAAUCUCAUUUCUUGGAUGGAAUGAAAUCAAUAUUCCUAGUUCAAUAUUCUUUUACAAUGGGGUACAAUCUUCAUGAGAGACUUGGCAAGCAGGAUUUUAUUGCACAAGUUGAUGCAGGUUCUUUGAAGCAUAUUAGCUUCAAAUUUUGUUUUGAAAACUGUUCAAAAGGAGAGUUCUCACACUCUCUCUCUUAACUUACUGUUUAAUGAGCAUAGUCUUAUCUUGUAAGUCUUUCAAUUAGGUUGGCAAUUUUGUUUUUGGUAUAUUACUUUGACAGUCUAUGCUUUAAAUGUUUGCCUAGGUUAGUAGAGAUUAAUAAUCUGCAGAAUAAAGAAAUUGUGGCUCUUCAUCUGCAUAUUUCUGAUCUGCUGCCAUCUUUGACAGUGAAACUUAUAUGUUUAAAUUUGUUAUUGGGUUUAAUAUGUUCUGUCAAUCAUCCUUAUUAGUGAACCAUUAGCAUUAUUUGUGAUAUCUUCUGAGGUAUCUUAUCUAAUCAUUUCUGUUUCAGUUUGAAAUCAGGGAGCAGCGGCUAAGGUUUGCACAUAACAGUCCAUCAAGUUCAUAUGCACGUAAAGAGGUUUGUGUUCUGACUUUCGUAUGGUGUUUUUAGCUUACUAGUUAAGGUCCCUUGAUAAAGUGUUAAAUUCUUUUCCCAAUAUCAGUGUUGUUAUUAAUUACCUAAAAAUUGCAGGAUAUUAUAAGCAUUUACAAAAGGAGAGGUGGAAGUGAUAAUAGAAACCUAUCUCAUAAUGACUGGUUACAAACAGUUCAGUCAGAGCCUGAUGUGAUCUCAAUGUCCUUUAUCCCAAUUACUUCUCUAUUGAAUGGAGUCCCGGGUAGUGGAUUUCUGAGCCAUGCAAUAAAUCUGUAUUUGCGAUGUAAGCAAGACCUAUUUUUUUGUGUACCUAAGCAUUUGGUUUUCUGCUACUAAUUAGAUCAAACUAUUGCAUCUUAUUUUUUAAAACAUAGAAGUCAUUUAUUAUUUUCUGGAAGAAGUAUGCCUCUGAUUUUUGUUUUUGAAAUUUCUUUUAAAUUUUAAAUGUAAAAUACCAUAAAUUCACUAACCAUCUUAUUGUUAUGAAAUCCUAAGGUAAUCAAACACAAGAGUUAUGAGCUUAUUUUGGUUGAAACUUUUGUUAAAUAACCAUUAGUUGUCAGUAAGGACCACAGUGCUUCAACUUAAUCCUCAACUAGAUGUGUCAUGAAGCAAUGAGAACAAAUUUUUGGCCCGCAAUGGCUCUUCUGAUUGACUUCUUUUUCCUUCAUUUGCUUACUGCUGCAAAUAAUACUUCUUUGUUAUUAUAGCAAACAGUCUACACAUGUUUCAUCCAUAAGCUAUUGCUCUUACAGAUAAACCACCAAUUGAAGAACUCCACCAGUUUUUGGAGUUUCAGCUUCCGAGACAGUGGGCACCAGUUUUCAGUGAACUUCCUCUUGGGCCACAACGAAAGCAACAAAGCACUGCAUCUUUGCAAUUCAGCUUCAUGGGGCCCAAGCUUUUUGUGAACACUACACCGGUAAAGCAUUUUCUCACAUUGAAAUUUUUCUGUCCUUUUUGUUGUAUGCACGGAGUGUUUGACCAUAUAGGUUUCAUCCAUGUAUGUGAGUAGUUCUUAUUGUCCUUGGCUAGAUAAAUUUCAUCUCAUGUUGAUAUACUGGUGUUGGAUUUAUAGAUGAUCACUAGAAUCUCUUCAGCAUUUGAAAUUUAAAAAUUUUGUGCCAUGAUGAUUGUAUGUCGAAAAGGAAAUAGCAUUUUGUGAUUUGACAAGAUUUAAUUAUCUCUAGAUAUAUCAAAGAAAAUGCUUCUAGGGAACUCAUAUCAGUGGUACUUUACAUAAGACUUUGUCUUCUUUAGUUCUCCUAAAGUGAGCACAGUUCAGCUUUGUGACAUAGUGUGGAUAUAAAGUUGCAAACUGAUGUUAACUCUUGAAUCAUUGAAGCGGCAGCAUGUUUUGGUGAAGUCUUAUACGUUGUUCAUAUCAAAGAAAGGAGCUAUAGCUAAUUUCUGGUUAUAUAAUUUCAUGACAGGUUGAUGUGGGUAAAAGGCCAGUGACUGGCCUCCGACUUUAUCUAGAAGGUAAAAGGAGCAACCGCUUGGCCAUCCACUUACAGCACCUUUCCUCCCUUCCAAAAAUCUUCCAACUUGUAGAUGAUCCAAUUGGGAACUUCUGCCAAAAGUCUCAUGAUCGUAAUUACUAUGAGAAAGUUUAUUGGAAGAACUACUCUCAUGUAUGCACUGCCCCUGUUGAGUCUGAUGAGGAUCUUUCCAUAGUAACUGGAGCCCAAUUGCAGGUUGAGAAUCAUGGUUUUAAAAAUAUUCUCUUUCUACGGCUACGCUUCUCAACUGUCUUGGGAGCUGUGUCUGCUAAGCAUCCAGAAUGGGAUGGAUCACCUGGGUUGGCACCCAAAUCAGGACUCAUAUCCACACUAAUCAGUCAUCACUUCACAACAGUACAGAAGCCACCUCCAAGGCCUGCCGACGUGAAUAUAAAUUCUGCUGUUUAUCCUGGAGGUCCUCCUGUGCCUGUGCAAGCCCCCA